Molecule: long non-coding RNA, 1945 nt
Organism: Mobula hypostoma (lesser devil ray)
Lineage: Eukaryota; Metazoa; Chordata; Chondrichthyes; Myliobatiformes; Myliobatidae
Exons: 4
Source: RefSeq, a predicted model, not a curated record
UCGAGAGGAGAUGAAGAGAGAAGAUGCUGGGGAGAACCGGUCGUAGCAUACGAUCUGGUGGGAGACCUGUUUGUCUGAGAUGGAUUGCGAGUGAUGUUCAGAAUGUGGUAUGAGCUUUCACGUUGACCAAGGUUCCAGCGCGUGAGUGACAGAGAAGUUCAAGUGGGCCAGUGCUAAAGUGAAAGACUUGAGGCUUUGGCUCAAGAGGUUUCAGUGAGAAGAGGCAGAGACUAGUAAGGUUCUGAUGAACACACAGUAUACACAGGACUUUGAUAAUAAGCCUGAUUCGAAUUCUGAUUCAGAGUCACACUACAGUCUUCUACCAUUGAUAUCUUAUGCAGACAAAGUAUCAGAUAUAAGAGAUUCUGCAGAUGCUGGAAAUCCAGAACAAACCACACAAGUGUUGGAGGAACUCUGCAGGACAGGCAGCAUGAAUGGAGGGGAAUAAACAGUUGACGUUUCUGGCUGAGACUGUUGCAGGAGUCUAUGGCAAACAAAGAACUAAAUGCAGCUCAUUCGACAAUGACUUUUCAUUUCAGUCACUGCAUCAGCAUUUUACUUCUCAGACUCUUGACCAAUUAGAUCAAGUGGGCACAAUGACCACACACAAGUUAUUUUCAACCCCUUCAUUUAAAGGCUGAUAGAAAGCAUGGCAUUUGGUGCAUACUGGAAUUAGGAAGAGAAGCAAAGGCGGUGUUAGGAUGGAACUUAGACUCAUAAAGGCUAUGCUACAUUACUGUGUUGCCUCACUGAAUGCCAUGUUGGGGAAAGGUGGCUUCCACUGUCACCAAGAAGACUUUAUUAAAGUUUGCCAUUGGGGACAGUCACAGAGACACUGAUUAUACUGCUGGUGUUUAAUUAGUAAAGCAGGGAAGGUGUACCUCGCGAUGUAUUUGCCCCAGUGGGUAUAUAACAUUUAUCCCUUCACCCUUCCUUUCAAAAAAUACUCAAACAUAUCAAUCCUCACACCAUUUGGAGCAAAAUAACUACAGAAGCUAGAAAUCCAAAACCAAAACUAUUAUGGCCGGAAGCAUUUAGCGGCUCAAGCAGCAUUGAGAGGAAGAGAAGAAGAAUCGAGGUUUCAAGUCAGGAACACUUGGCUGGAAUGUGUGUCCUUCAGGUAUAGGGGUCUCACUGUGACAGUGCACCUCAACACUGGAUAUUAUAUUUUUUUGUACUGCUCCCAGUCAUUACUAGUUGGGGUUUUAUAUUUGUACUCAAGCAAGAACAUUGUGCUCCAACCCUUUGGGUGAUGAAUACUACAGUUUGCUCCAGGGGCAGCUAUAAUCUCUGAUAUGUACUGUGGUGCAAAGUCCUUCAAUGCUCAUUAUUCAAGCUGCCAGCACUUUGACAAGCAGUCAGUCACAACCUUUAUGUAUUUGUGAUGGCCAACUUGAAACUCAGAUGAUCUCCUCUAGUGAUCACAUGGCAGAUAAGCUGACAGUCAUGGUAAAUUUUACAGGUGUUGGUGAAGUAAGGACACCUGUGGGUCCUGAUCUUAUAGAGAGAAAAUACCUGCCAUCGCCUGAUGUAGGACCCAGACCUUCCUGAGAUGGGACUCGACUGUGGCAAGAAAACUUAUCUGCUGAUUGCAUAUCCUGUGUUCUAACAGCUGCCAUUGUAAUCUUCAUCCAUCUACUGAUUUCCUCCCUGGUGGGGAUUUAGAUCUGCUAGGAGAGAGGUUUGAUUUUCCAGCAUGCCUGCUCAACUAGUUAAACCUAAAAGUCUACACAUCAUAUUAUACAAAUGAUCCAUUAACAAAAAAAAAUUGACAUUCUGCUAGCUUUAUUAGGUUGCCACAGACUGUCAAGCAGUCAUUUUGUCUUUCAACGUCCACUGUUCUCAAAUCCAUAAGUACAUCAGGUAAAAGAGGAGAUUCUGAAUCAUCGAACAGAGUAGUUUUUUUUUAUCUUUGGUUAAUUUAUGUUAGGGUUGUUAAAUAAAU